Molecule: ribosomal RNA, 429 nt
Filed under: uncultured bacterium
Lineage: Bacteria
Description: bacterial SSU rRNA
Rfam family: Bacterial small subunit ribosomal RNA
Source: RNAcentral
UGGGGAAUAUUGGACAAUGGGGGGAACCCUGAUCCAGCUAUGCCGCGUGUGUGAAGAAGGCCUGAGGGUUGUAAAGCACUUUCAGUGGGGAGGAGAGAUUGCAGGUUAAGAGCUAGUGAUUGAGACGUUACCCACAGAAGAAGCACCGGCUAACUCCGUGCCAGCAGCCGCGGUAAUACGGAGGGUGCAAGCGUUAAUCGGAAUUAUUGGGCGUAAAGGGUGCGUAGGUGGUUGAAUAAGUUAUCUGUGAAAACCCUGGGCUUAACUUGGGGGAGAGAGAUAAAACUGUCUGACUAGAGUAUGGGAGAGGGUAGUGGAAUUUCCGGUGUAGCGGUGAAAUGCGUAGAUAUGCGGAGGAACACCGAUGGCGAAGGCAGCCCCCUGGGAUGAUACUGACGCUCAUGCACGAAAGCGUGGGGAGCAAACAGG